This 519-nucleotide long non-coding RNA is filed under the name Brassica napus (rape). RNAcentral describes it as "long non-coding RNA (BNAP_LNC005501)". The record is from RNAcentral. Lineage: Eukaryota; Viridiplantae; Streptophyta; Magnoliopsida; Brassicales; Brassicaceae.
UCAUCCCCACUUAAUCAAAAGCAAUAAGGCAAAAAAAAAGAGUUAAAAUAAAGCUCCGCAAUAUAGGACACCGACAUUUUAUACUUUUUAGAUAUCCAACUAAGUUAAAGUUAAGCCAUAGGAUAUGCAAUCAUGCACAUUACUUGGUGUGUAUGAAACCAAACGAAGGAGAGUUUUAGCCGGCAAAACUUGCUGUUGAAGAUGGAAAUUCAUGAGAGGAUAAGGCUUUUUUUUUAAUAAAGUUACAUCAAUCAAGUAGAUUAUCCACCUUUGAUUUAUGCCUGAAUGUGCUGUUUGCAAUAAGUUAUUAGUUAUUUGAUUAUUUCUAUAGAAAAUGUGAAUGUGAGAUCGUUUUAUAGUCAAAUAGUUUGGUUUAUGUGAACACAAUAUAAAGAUUUGAGACUAUUUCAGAUGAUAAAAGUUGCAUAUCCUAAAAUAACUAGCUUAUACACAUACAAGAUAUUUGCUUUAUGGUCACUUUAAAGUUAGGUUCUGUAAGUUGAAAUUUAUCAUAAUUUU